UGGGAUAUAGCCAAACUGGUAAGGCAGUGGACUCUGACUCCAUAAUUUUCCGGUUCGAGCCCGGAUAUCCCAA
Molecule: transfer RNA, 73 nt
Filed under: Lactobacillus sp.
Lineage: Bacteria; Bacillati; Bacillota; Bacilli; Lactobacillales; Lactobacillaceae
Description: tRNA-Gln
Rfam family: tRNA
About the family: Transfer RNA (tRNA) molecules are approximately 80 nucleotides in length. Their secondary structure includes four short double-helical elements and three loops (D, anti-codon, and T loops).
Source: RNAcentral